ACGGGAGGCAGCAGUGGGGAAUAUUGGGCAAUGGGCGAAAGCCUGACCCAGCAACGCCGCGUGAAGGAAGAAGGUCUUCGGAUUGUAAACUUCUUUUAUGAGGGACGAAGGACGUGACGGUACCUCAUGAAUAAGCCACGGCUAACUACGUGCCAGCAGCCGCGGUAAUACGUAGGUGGCAAGCGUUAUCCGGAUUUACUGGGUGUAAAGGGCGUGUAGGCGGUUUAGCAAGUCAGAAGUGAAAUUCCCGGGCUUAACUUGGGCGCUGCUUCUGAAACUGCUUUACUUGAGUACUGGAGAGGAUAGUGGAAUUCCUAGUGUAGCGGUAAAAUGCGCAGAUAUUAGGAGGAACACCGGUGGCGAAGGCGGCUAUCUGGACAGUAACUGACGCUGAGGCGCGAAAGCAUGGGGAGCAAACAGGAUUAGAUACCCUGGUA
RNAcentral lists this ribosomal RNA (437 nucleotides) under uncultured Saccharofermentans sp. Its description in RNAcentral is "partial 16S ribosomal RNA". It matches the Rfam family "Bacterial small subunit ribosomal RNA", at positions 341 to 792 of the family's 1533-position model. Lineage: Bacteria; Bacillati; Bacillota; Clostridia; Eubacteriales; Oscillospiraceae. The record is from RNAcentral.